AGGAUGUGUGAUGACGCAUAUCAAUAAGCGGAGGAAAAGAAACUAACAAGGAUUCCCUUAGUAACGGCGAGUGAAGCGGGAAGAGCUCAAAUUUGAAAUCUUCAAGGUUCUACCUUGACGAAUUGUAGUUUAAAGAAGUGUUUUCUGUUGGAGUUUUGGUAAAAGUUCUUUGGAAUAGGACAUCAUAGAGGGUGAGAAUCCCGUAUUUGACCAUUAUUUCCAGCUGUGUGAUACACUUUCAAAGAGUCGGAUUGUUUGGGAAUGCAGUCCAAAAUGGGUGGUAAAUUUCAUCUAAAGCUAAAGUAUUGGCGAGGAGACCGAUAGCGAACAAGUACCGUGAGGGAAAGAUGAAAAGAACUUUGAAAAGAGAGUUAAACAGUACGUGAAAUUGUCAAAAGGGAAGCGUUUGACACCAGUGUUGUUUUUCCGAAAAUCAAUUACGAAUGUUUUGAUUUUGAGGAGUUAUGACUUCAUCGGCUUGCUCCUUUCUUUACUGAAACUUUCUUAAUGCACUUUUCGGUUAACAAGUCAACAUCAAUUUCUUUUGUUGUAAAAGGGUAUGAGGAAGGUGGCUUUCUUUUCGGAGAAAGUGUUUAUAGCCCUUGUGCCUUCUGCAAUCGGAGAGAUUGAGGUCUAGCAGCGUAGAUCCUUCGGGGUUAGAUACAGUUGUGCUAAGUUAUAGCUUUUCAUAGACAACUUGUUGACUAUGUUUAAGUCUAUGUAGCUUACUCGCAUACUGCUAUUUUACCUACGCUUAGGAUGUUGACGCAUGAGAUAUACGC
Molecule: ribosomal RNA, 782 nt
Filed under: uncultured Neocallimastigales
Lineage: Eukaryota; Fungi; Neocallimastigomycota; Neocallimastigomycetes; Neocallimastigales
Description: partial large subunit ribosomal RNA
Rfam family: Eukaryotic large subunit ribosomal RNA
Source: RNAcentral